Molecule: long non-coding RNA, 1519 nt
Filed under: Homo sapiens (human)
Lineage: Eukaryota; Metazoa; Chordata; Mammalia; Primates; Hominidae
Description: HSALNT0163313
Source: RNAcentral
CUGGAGCCUCAAGAACCAGGCUUCAGCCACUGCUCUACAGCUCUGGAGUGAAUAUAGCUUCACUCUUGUUGUACAGGUGUGCUAGCACUCAAUGCUAAAGAUGGCACCCAGUUCAAGGUCAGCAAAUGGAAGGCAUCCUCGCCCACAACUCUUCAGUGGACAUGGCUUCUCUAUCAGAGAGCGCUUUUCAGCUAAGUCCAGAUGCAGGCCUGAAGUCUUCUCUGCCCAUCCCUCCAGAAGGCCACUGUGAUAACCUGAAUUGGGAAGGAAAGAGAAGCCCCGUUGCCUUCCAAGAUCACCUUCUUCUUUUUUUUUCCUCCAGGCAGAUUUUCAGGCUAAUUUUCCCAGGGGGAAAAAAAUUAGUAUCUCUCCUGUUUGAAAGCAUUCUGAGAUGAAAAUGAAAUAGAAAUUGAAGAUUGUUUCCAUUCUUAAGGGUUUUGGUCAAUCGUUUUUAGAAAUUUCUUCCUGGGAUUUAUAUUAUUUUCCUCCCACUUUACCUCUCCUGUGUCCAUUUUGGAGAAAAGCACCUCGUUUAUCUUUGGGAGACAGUAACGCAGAAACUGUAACUGAGCCGAUUUCCCCUUGAGGAUCAAAAUAUUUGUGUUAAAUGAAAUGAGAAAUCUGCUAAGUGGCGGCAUGCAUCCCCCAGGGAAGGAUAUUUUGUAAUUUUGAAAAAUUCCUACUGAAAUUCUUCUCUUGCCAAGAAAAGAGGAAUGAUUUCUGUUAAAAUUACUUCAUGUCUGAAUUACUCUCUGCCCCUCGGGAACAUAUAACAUUACAGCUUUUAUGCUCAGUAAUUUAGAAGGACGGGGGGACACCUUAUUUGGAAAGCAUGCAGACUUAACACGAAAUGUUGGGUAUUAAGUAGUUUCACCACAAAAGUCUCGUUUUGAAAAUUUUGCACUUAAACAGUUCAAAUUAAAGUUCGUUUUUAGAACUGGUUUUUAUGAUUGUCUGUAUAAGUCCUUUUAACUUUCUACUCUUAUCUCACCAUUCCCUGAAGCUGCAGAGAAAAUCCUUUGAUUGGUGUUCAAGAGUUGUACCUUUUAUAGAAAACAGGAUAGAUGGCAUCACUUUAAUAAGGCAGGUGCAUGCUUUGAAGCCAGUCAAAUAAGUUAAUUUUAUUAAAAUAUAUGUAUCUGCUUCUGUGUAUGUUAUAGUACAGGCUUUGGAAAGGCACGAGAGAUAGAAAAUAGGUUUAAACUCACAGGCCAACUCUGAUCAAGUAUUAUGGAUCCCACUGGCACUGUGUUGGGAAAGAUUCUGAGGCCAAAUUCAGGUUCAGGGGGAAAAAAAGUGAAAGAUGAGUAUUCUUCUUUGAUUACAGGUGGCCAAUUUUAAGCACAAGCACCAAACACAGAUGUCAUCACUGACACGUAUUAAAUAUCAAGAGAAGUGCCUUCUGGCUUGUGUAAUUGAAGUAGUUUUCUGUGUUUUCUAAUUUUCUGCAGUAAAUAUGUAUUGUUUCUGUGAUGAGAUUAAAGCUAUUUUUUAUUCUUUUUAAACUGGAAAAAUUGUU